ACAUAUUUAGUAUAAGAAAAUACAUUGGAUUUAGGUUCCAAAGAUUUUUAAUAUGUU
This 57-nucleotide transfer RNA is filed under the name Caenorhabditis remanei. Its description in RNAcentral is "tRNA-Leu". The record is from RNAcentral. Lineage: Eukaryota; Metazoa; Nematoda; Chromadorea; Rhabditida; Rhabditidae.